GUAUCCUUAGCUCAAUGGGCGAGCAGCCGCUAUGCGGAAGAUGUGGGUUCAAUCCCUGCAGGAUACG
RNAcentral lists this transfer RNA (67 nucleotides) under Limosilactobacillus mucosae. RNAcentral describes it as "Lactobacillus mucosae tRNA-OTHER". It matches the Rfam family "tRNA". Rfam says of the family: Transfer RNA (tRNA) molecules are approximately 80 nucleotides in length. Their secondary structure includes four short double-helical elements and three loops (D, anti-codon, and T loops). The record is from RNAcentral. Lineage: Bacteria; Bacillati; Bacillota; Bacilli; Lactobacillales; Lactobacillaceae.